UACGUAGGGUGCGAGCGUUGUCCGGAAUUAUUGGGCGUAAAGAGCUCGUAGGCGGUGUGUCGCGUCGGCCGUGAUAACCUGCAGCUCAACUGUGGGCUUGCGGUCGAUACGGGCAUCACUGGAGUUCGGCAGGGGAGACUGGAAUUCCUGGUGUAGCGGUGAAAUGCGCAGAUAUCAGGAGGAACACCGGUGGCGAAGGCGGGUCUCUGGGCCGAUACUGACGCUGAGGAGCGAAAGCGUGGGGAGCGAACAGG
Molecule: ribosomal RNA, 254 nt
Filed under: uncultured bacterium
Lineage: Bacteria
Description: partial 16S ribosomal RNA
Rfam family: Bacterial small subunit ribosomal RNA
Source: RNAcentral